Molecule: non-coding RNA, 2227 nt
Organism: Sus scrofa (pig)
Lineage: Eukaryota; Metazoa; Chordata; Mammalia; Artiodactyla; Suidae
Source: RefSeq, a predicted model, not a curated record
CCCCUAGCCUGGGAACCUCCAUAUGCUGCAGGUGCGGCCCUUAAAAAAAAAGAAAAAAAAGACAAAAACAAAAAACAAAAUAAAGAAAGAUGUUGAGGGAACAUCUGACACCCUACCCGGCCCUCCCAUCUCUAGCACUGUCCACGUCAGGCAGCCGGCUGCUCUGAUGCCUCCACUUUUUUGCACUUCUGUGCUGCUGUGUGUGUGUCCCUGGCCUGGCCUGUCCCUCUGUCUCUUCCACCACAGGCACUGCUCACGCCUCCUUUAAGACGCAGGUGCACUGUCCGGCCCAGGGCUGGAGCCUGCUCCCCACUCUGUGCUGGGGGUUCUGUAACAUGGGCGCUCAGAUAGGCUCGCUGCUUUUCCUCCCUCCCCUCUGCUGUGCUAAGGCUGGUGCCCCGCCCCUUUCCCAGCCCUCUCUGCCAGCCCAGCCAGGGCCCCGAGAUCUGAAACGGGGUCACGAGCAAAGGCCCCCAUGGGGCAGAGGCUGAGGGAGCUCUCAUGCUGCUUCCACUGAGAGCUGCCUGCCCAUGGGGCCCCGGCUGCACACAGAGCGAGCUCAGAAGAAGGGGCCUGUAUCCAGGGCACCUGCUCCUGUCCCGCUGCUCUCAGGAUCAAGUCUGAACACCCCUCUGCAACACAGAAAACCUGAGAUCCCCAGCAGCCUUCCCCUCUCACACCCCUGCUCUACCACGGACCUGUCCCUUGCCCAUGGAGGAACUCCUGUCUGUUUCUGUCUGCAUCCACCUUCCGCCCCUACCCAGCAUCCUUCAGGGCAGCUGAGCACAGGUUCUAUCUCUGGCCCUUCCCUGGGCCCUGGGUCCAGUGGCCCCUCCACCUCUGUCUUCUGGGUGUCCAUCCUUUGUUCUUGCCCUGCUGGACUGAGCUUUGGGCAGGCAGAGGUCCCACUACCCCCCCCCCCCGCCCCCCGCUUCAGCCCCUGGCUUCAGAGGGUGAGGGAUGAAAAAUAGGGCUGGCGACCUGUGCAGUCACAGGCCCCCUCUCAGAAGGGCCCUGUGCCUAGUUGAACUCUCUGCUGUGAUCAUCUUGACAAUCUUUUUAUUUUGCUUUUUAGGGCGGCACCUGCAGCAUAUGGAAGUUUCCAGGCCCGGGGUCGAAUCAGAGCUGCAGCUGCCAGCCUGUGCCACAGCCACAGCGACGCAGGAUCCAAGCUCCAUCGGUGAACUAUACUGCAGCUGACAGCAACACUGGAUCUGUAAUGCACUGAGCGAGGCCAGGGAUCGAACCCACAUCCUCAUGGAUAGUAGUUGGGUUUGUAAGCUGCGGAGCCACAAUGGGAACUCCCAUCUUAACAUUCUAAAGAUGCGUCAUAUGAGGAUCCAGCCAUUCUCUCACUCACCUGGAGAGACCUAGCAUGGACAUUAAUAAGUAAGUGACUCUUUCAGGACAUCUGACCCACUGGGAGGGGUCGGCUUGCCCACUUCAGCCCCAGUGCGCCUUCUCUUGGGGGUGGCUGUCCUCCCCACGCGGUUCGGGACAAGGUUCCCAACACCGGCCCCCAGAGAGCUGCCGUUGCAGUGUCCGCCUUAUCCAUGCUCCAGGCUGACUGAAAGAGCAUCGGGAAGCCCACCAACCCCUGCACACCCCCUGCCCCCCCACCCUAGUCACUGGAACACCAGCCUCAGGGGCAGCUCUGGCCUGGCCCUUGUGGCCUUGCCUUCCAUCCUGGCACUCACCUCCCUCUAAAGCCCUUCAAAGGGUCCUUGUGUUACCCACUAGGCAAGAACAAGGAACAAGCUGUAUCCUCAGAAAUCUCUAGCAACCUCGGCCCCAGACAGGCCCUCUGAUGGAAAUAGCAUUAGGGGCUUUCACACCAGGAAAAAAACCAGUCCCCUUUUAUUGAGAAAAUAGACUCGAUCCCUCAAUCUUUUCCCAGGUGACUCGACUGUGAUACCAGGUGGCAUCCUUCUGCAGCCACCCCCAAGGACCCCUGAACCUGAGCGGGGCAGAUGCUGGUCGGCUCAGGGCCUGGAGAAGUGGGCGUGCAGGUCGGGCAGGGUUCUAGAGGGGGGGCUGUGAAGGGCAUGGGGGCACCUGGGUGGAGGUGGGACCGGGGCGGGAGGGGUGGGGGGGCAAGAGUGGCUGUGGCGGGUGGCAUCUGGCUGAAAUGAGGGAAGGGUGGGGGUAGGGGGAGAAGGGCCACCAUCUCCCGAGGCCUGGUACCUUCUCCCUACAAAUUCUUCAUAAAUAAAACUUCACAGUAAUA